AUCAUUACACAAAUAUGAAGGCGGGGGGCUGGCCCUCCCGGGGUGGCCAGCCUUGCUGAAUUAUUCCACCCGUGUCUUUUGGGUACUUCUUGUUUCCUUGGGGGGCUCGCCCACCACAAGGACCAACCCAUAAACCUUUUUGCAAUGGCAAUCACCGUCAGUAACAAUGUAAUAAUUUACAACUUUCAACAACGGAUCUCUUGGUUCUGGCAUCGAUGAAAAACGCAGCGAAAUGCGAUAAGUAGUGUGAAUUGCAGAAUUCAGUGAAUCAUCCAAUCUUUGAACGCACAUUGCGCCCUUUGGUAUUCCAAAGGGCAUGCCUGUUCGAGCGUCAUUUGUACCCUCAAGCUUUGCUUGGUGUUGGGCGUCUUUUUGUCUCCCCUUGCGGGAGACUCGCCUUAAAGUCAUUGGCAGCCGGCCUACUGGUUUCGGAGCGCAGCACAAGUCGCGCUCUCUUCCAGCCCCAAGGUCUAGCAUCCACCAAGCCUUUUUUUUCAACUUUUGACCUCGGAUCAGGUAGGGAAACC
RNAcentral lists this ribosomal RNA (527 nucleotides) under Alternaria solani. Its description in RNAcentral is "eukaryotic LSU rRNA". The stretch from base 181 to 334 matches the Rfam family "5.8S ribosomal RNA". The record is from RNAcentral. Lineage: Eukaryota; Fungi; Ascomycota; Dothideomycetes; Pleosporales; Pleosporaceae.